Molecule: ribosomal RNA, 253 nt
Filed under: uncultured bacterium
Lineage: Bacteria
Description: partial 16S ribosomal RNA
Rfam family: Bacterial small subunit ribosomal RNA
Source: RNAcentral
UACGGGGGGAGCAAACGUUGUUCGGAAUUACUGGGCGUAAAGGGCGCGUAGGCGGCCUUCUAAGUCGAACGUGAAAUCCCCGGGCUCAACCCGGGAACUGCGUCCGAGACUGAAAGGCUUGAAUCCGGGAGAGGGAUGUGGAAUUCCCGGUGUAGAGGUGAAAUUCGUAGAUAUCGGGAGGAACACCAGUGGCGAAGGCGGAGACCUGGGCCAAUACUGACGCUGAGGUGCGAAAGCGUGGGGAGCAAACGGG